RNAcentral lists this ribosomal RNA (99 nucleotides) under uncultured eukaryote. RNAcentral's name for it is "partial small subunit ribosomal RNA". The record is from RNAcentral.
UCGCUCCUACCGAUUUUGAGUGAUCCGGUGAACCUUCUGGACUGCGUGCGUUCGUCGCAUGCGGGAAGUUAAGUAAACCUUAUCACUUAGAGGAAGGAG